UACGGGGGGGCAAGCGUUGUUCGGAAUUACUGGGCGUAAAGGGCGCGUAGGUGGCCAACUAAGUCAGACGUGAAAUCCCUCGGCUUAACCGGGGAACUGCGUCUGAUACUGGAUGGCUUGAGUUUGGGAGAGGGACGCGGAAUUCCAGGUGUAGGCGGUGAAAUGCGUAGAUAUCUGGAGGAACACCGGUGGCGAAGGCGGCGGUCCUGGACCAAUACGUGACACUGAAACGCGAAAGCCAGGGGAGCAAAGCGGG
This 256-nucleotide ribosomal RNA is filed under the name uncultured bacterium. RNAcentral's name for it is "partial 16S ribosomal RNA". It matches the Rfam family "Bacterial small subunit ribosomal RNA", at positions 524 to 777 of the family's 1533-position model. The record is from RNAcentral.